Long non-coding RNA from Herpailurus yagouaroundi (jaguarundi), 539 nucleotides. RefSeq lists it as uncharacterized. Lineage: Eukaryota; Metazoa; Chordata; Mammalia; Carnivora; Felidae. The transcript has 3 exons. The record is from RefSeq and is a predicted model, not a curated record.
CACACUAGGGAGUUCUGUUGCAUGCACCACUGUAUAUGUGAUGUAAUAUUAGUUCACACACUCCACUUAUUCACAGCAUUUUCACAACUGGUCUCCCCUGGUCUUCGCAAGAAGCCUCCAGGUUACGUUGGGUGUGGAAAGUCCUCUGAGAGCUGAGAUGGCGCCUCUUUCGAUCGGAGUUCAGGUUUGCAUGGCUUAACCUGCAGCACCCAGCAGCAUGUCUGGGACUCAGGAGACGCUCAGCAAAGGACAGCUGCAGAAGAGGGGUUAGAGUGACAGGAGCCAAAGGGAAGAGAAGAGAGCCAUCUCUGAGACCCAGAUGGGAGCCCGUGGUUGUGAGGGGCCAGACUUUGGGAGAAUAACCUGAGGAAUAGGCGGGGAAUGGCAACUACAGGAAGAAAAGAAGAAAAAGAAAACAAACAAACACCUUUCACUUAGAAACUGAGGUCUCUUGUUGUAUCGUGUAACUUCCCACUUCCUCAUACAAAUCAGCAUCUCUUUUUUUCUCCUUCAAAUAAAGUUCUCUUUUCCCUUUUGAA